GGGGUCAUAAUCUAGCCAGGUAGGAUGGCAGGCUCCAGACCUGCUAACGGGGGUUCAAAUCCCUCUGACCCCA
Molecule: transfer RNA, 73 nt
Filed under: Candidatus Aenigmarchaeota archaeon ex4484_14
Lineage: Archaea; Nanobdellati; Candidatus Aenigmatarchaeota
Also listed under: 1 other name
Description: tRNA-Trp
Rfam family: tRNA
About the family: Transfer RNA (tRNA) molecules are approximately 80 nucleotides in length. Their secondary structure includes four short double-helical elements and three loops (D, anti-codon, and T loops). Further hydrogen bonds mediate the characteristic L-shaped molecular structure. tRNAs have two regions of fundamental functional importance: the anti-codon, which is responsible for specific mRNA codon recognition, and the 3' end, to which the tRNAs corresponding amino acid is attached (by aminoacyl-tRNA synthetases). tRNAs cope with the degeneracy of the genetic code in two manners: having more than one tRNA (with a specific anti-codon) for a particular amino acid; and 'wobble' base-pairing, i.e. permitting non-standard base-pairing at the 3rd anti-codon position.
Source: RNAcentral